This 253-nucleotide ribosomal RNA is filed under the name uncultured bacterium. Its description in RNAcentral is "partial 16S ribosomal RNA". It matches the Rfam family "Bacterial small subunit ribosomal RNA", at positions 524 to 776 of the family's 1533-position model. The record is from RNAcentral.
UACAGAGGGGGCAAGCGUUAUUCGGAAUUAUUGGGCGUAAAGGGCGCGUAGGCGGCCAUUCAAGUGACGGGUGAAAGCCCUCGGCUUAACCGAGGAACUGCCCGUCAGACUGUAAGGCUUGAGACCGGGAGAGGUGAGUGGAAUUCCCAGUGUAGCGGUGAAAUGCGUAGAUAUUGGGAGGAACACCAGUGGCGAAGGCGGCUCACUGGACCGGAACUGACGCUGAGGCGCGAAAGCGUGGGGAGCAAACAGG